This 256-nucleotide long non-coding RNA is filed under the name Capsicum annuum. RNAcentral's name for it is "long non-coding RNA (CANN_LNC008514)". The record is from RNAcentral. Lineage: Eukaryota; Viridiplantae; Streptophyta; Magnoliopsida; Solanales; Solanaceae.
ACCUUUCCACUCAAUAACUGGCUCAUUAGGAAAUUCAAAGAAGGCCUUACGGGUAAGACUGUCUAGAGAUACACAGCACGAGUGCAACCAAUCCACCCCCAAUAUGAUAUCGAAAUCAACCAUAUCUAAUUCAAAUAGAUCCACUAAAGCCUUUAAACCACCCAUAAAUACCACACAACCCCUAUAGACUCUUCUAGUCACCACAGAGUCACCUACCAGGGUAGAAAUUGAAAGGGUCCAAAAUAAACUCGGGAUC